AUUGAACGCUGGCGGCAUGCCUUACACAUGCAAGUCGAACAGCAGCACGGGUGCUUGCACCUGGUGGCGAGUGGCGAACGGGUGAGUAAUACAUCGGAACGUACCUUAUCGUGGGGGAUAACGCAGCGAAAGUUGCGCUAAUACCGCAUACGCCCUGAGGGGGAAAGCGGGGGACCGUAAGGCCUCGCGCGAUUAGAGCGGCCGAUGUCUGAUUAGCUUGUUGGUGAGGUAGAAGCUCACCAAGGCGAUGAUCAGUAGCUGGUCUGAGAGGACGAUCCGCCACACGGGGACUGGGACACGGGCCAGACUCCGACGGGAGGCAGCAGUGGGGAAUUUUGGACAAUGGGCGCAACCCUGAUCCGGCAAUGCCGCGUGAGUGAAGAAGGCCUUCGGGUUGAAAAGCUCUUUUGUCAGGGAAGAAACAGCAGCUCUAACACAGUCUGCGAAUGACGGUACCUGAAGAAUAAGCACCGGCUAACUACGUGCCAGCAGCCGCAGUAA
This 501-nucleotide ribosomal RNA is filed under the name uncultured bacterium. RNAcentral describes it as "partial 16S ribosomal RNA". It matches the Rfam family "Bacterial small subunit ribosomal RNA", at positions 29 to 523 of the family's 1533-position model. The record is from RNAcentral.